Molecule: ribosomal RNA, 291 nt
Filed under: uncultured Spirochaetota bacterium
Lineage: Bacteria; Pseudomonadati; Spirochaetota
Description: uncultured Spirochaetes bacterium partial 16S ribosomal RNA
Rfam family: Bacterial small subunit ribosomal RNA
Source: RNAcentral
AACGAGCGCAACCCUUUCGUCCAGUUGCCAUCAUUUAGUUGGGGACUCUGGAGAGACCGCUGCAGUAACAAUGCAGAGGAAGGUGGGACGACGUCAAGUCAUCAUGGUCCUUAUGUCCAGGGCUACACACGUGCUACAAUGGUAGUUACAGAGGGCAGCGAGGCCGCAAGGCGGAGUUAAUCUCAGAAAAGCUGCCACAGUUCGGAUUGAGGUCUGCAACUCGGCCUCAUGAAGCUGGAAUCGCUAGUAAUCGCGUAACAGCAUGACGCGGUGAAUACGUUCCCGGGCCUU